AACUGGUCUGAUGGUAGUGGGUUAUGAGAGCUUAUUAACAUUGUGUCACUAAAGUUGGUAUACAACCCCCCCAUGCUAAGUUUGACUGGCUUAAA
This is an unclassified non-coding RNA of Chlorocebus sabaeus (green monkey), 95 nucleotides long. It matches the Rfam family "Y RNA". Rfam says of the family: Y RNAs are components of the Ro ribonucleoprotein particle (Ro RNP), in association with Ro60 and La proteins. NCBI's taxonomy places the organism in Eukaryota, Metazoa, Chordata, Mammalia, Primates, Cercopithecidae. The record is from Ensembl.